UUUCGCAGAGGCUUCUGGGAUCGGGGCCGGUGAGGCUACUGCCGGUACUGUUGCGGAUGCUCCCGGAGGCCAUACGGCUGUGCCGGUCAGCCUCAGGGAAGAGGACAAGGCAGGAUGUCGCUGCGGGUCGUUCCGGCUCAAGGUGUAUCAUUCAGCUCUGCUACUGUGAAUAUGAUUGGCUUAGAGAAGAUUGAAGCUUUGUCCUUCAGUGUAGGCCUGGCUGUUUUCACUUCAUACAAGUUUCUUGUAUGCUGUCGCAAAUGGAAGCGUUUCCUUCCUUUGGUGUGGCAGGCUACCCCAUCUUCACCUAUCCAGAGGAAUUUGAUGGAGCCCCAUAGAUUGGUGUAUGCAUUUAUUCCUUUCGGGAUCCCAAACUUGGUAACAAGGAGAGUGACCUCAAGGACUGCAGUCUGGCAUUUUGGUGCUUAACAGCGGCUGCUGUGCCUUGCUUCCUGCUCUGGCCCCUCUGGAGCUCUUCCCUGUCUUCAUCUUCAGCUGUUAACAGCUAGCCAUCAUUCUUGACCUGACAGCUUCCACCUGGAUGCACUGGUCCAUCACUCUCUGCUGCUGCUUUGUGUUAUCAGCUCAGCCUGCGAUACUAAGUAUAGGUCCUGACUUACACUUUGAGCAAUUUAAGAGGCAGGAGCCUGCAAGUCUGGCCACUUGGACAGCUGGGUAGAUAUCCAGUGCUGUCAACUUAUAGUUUCCACACUGUGUAUGGUUUUCGUGAUCAGAGGAUGGAAGUGUUGGACUAAGGAAUGAUAAUUUCUUUGUCUGUGGACAUGGAAGUACAGCUGAGCCAUCCCUUAUACCCUAAAGAUAAACACUUUCCACCCUCAAUUAACACUUCCAUCCCUGUCCAAGGCUUCUGUGGGAGCCAUGUGGUACUGCUGUAUCUGCUGUGGGAGCUAUGUGGUGCUGUACCUGCUGUGUCAUUUCAAGUAGGGCGUCAAGUAAACUGAACUCAGACACUACACUCUGCUUCUGUGAAAAACAACUGCAAGCAAAGAAGAAGCAAGUGGGAGUGACUCAAGAAAACUUGUUCCAAGGCUACCGAAAGCCUGUGAAUCCAGGCACUGGGUAUAAUUGUUGGAUUCCCUGGAAAAAGACCCAGAGAAGCCAUUGCAUGGAACUGAAAAUAUGAAGCCCAAGUUACAGUGGAGGGACCAGGAUAUUGGCGAUUCUAGAAUUGUGCUUAUCCAUUGAGGAAAGCUGCAAGAACACAGUGGCACAAGCCCAAGACAGAAGUCAUGUGUGCUCUAGGUGCAGAACUAGAAUGCUGACACUACCCAAACUAACACCUCAGAUGACCCCAUCAUGAGCGCUACAUGCUAGCCGUGGAACUAUAGGAUUAGUUGUUAGUUCUAACAGGGGUUUUGUUUUUGCUUUAAUCCAACCUUUCCUUGCUGUUUCUCCAUUAUUUCCCAUUUAGGGUGGGGAUGUUCCUUCUUUGUUUUGUAUAUUAGAAGUGCAUUCUGAGAUGAACAAGAGACUAGGAACCAGGGUAGAAUACUAAGGUGAUAUGUUUGGUGUCCAGUUGGCAGAAGUGGAAUUAUAAUGAUUAAUUUCCGUUGCCAAUUUAACAGGAUUUAGAAUCAUCUAGGAGAUAGCUCUGUGCUUGUAUGUAAGUGCGGAGCUAGACAGAUUUACCUUAGAAGGGAAAUUUUCCCUUAAAUAAAUGUGAUAUCCCAGACAGAAUAAAAGAGGAGAACCAGUAUUCAUCUCUUUAUACUUCCUUCUGCCAUUUACCAAAUAUCAGGUGACUAUAUUUUUGUUUGUUUAUGGAAUCUCCAUUCAUUUCUGGUUUGCGUAUUAUGCUACCCCAGUAGCAAAUCUUAAUGAUUGGAACAUGGAUUUGAGGACACCUAAGUCCAUAUUUCAAGACCAUGCUCACUCAAAUUUGGCUCCAAAUAAGCUAUCUCUUCCUGUUUGAAUUGAGAGCUGUAUUUUUCCUUUCCUUUCCUUCCUUUCUUCUUUCUUUCUUUCCUUUUCUUUUCUUUUCUCGCCCCCCCCCCAUGAGACAGGGUUUCUCUAUGUAGCCCUGGCUGUCCUGGAACUCUGUAGGCCAGCAGGCCUCAAACUCAGAAAUCCACCUGCCUCUGCCUGCCUCUGCCUCCCAAGUGCUGGGAUUAUAGGUGUGCACCACCAUGCCCAGCUGAGCUGUAUUUUUUUCAACACACAAACACUAUAUGUGUAUACACACACAUAAACACACACACACACACACACACACACACACACACACAGUUUUCAUCCAUGGUUCAUACCUCAUUAUUCCUUCUCCGUAACAUGCCUACAAAAACAAUGUCUCAUUUCCAAAUUGGUUCAUAGAUGUACUGACCUUUCCCUGACUUUCUGUCUUGGAUAUGGCCACAAAGAAACUGAGUACCUUUUACCUAUACUGGGUUAUAAGACCCUCUUCAUUCCAAAGGGAUCCAUGCUAUUCAGAGGAAUCUGAACAACACAGGCAUUGCUGGGUUUUCUCAACAGGGUAGGCUCUCUAUCCCUAAAGCAUUCGUUAGUCAUGUCGUAAUAAAAUGCAGAGACAGAUUUAUUCAAUGUGACCAUAUUAGGAAGAGACGGAUACCCCAAGUCCAUCUUUUGGGUACCCACAUGAGCUUUAGGUUUAAAUAGUGGAGGACUGGGACAAGGGACAGGAGAUAUGUGUAAUUAAGCAGGCCUCCUCUGAGUGUGGCUAGUUUAUCAUAUCACCUCAGUCCCAGCCCUGCAAGAUGGUCUGAUGAAGUCCUUAACACUGACACUGCUUGAGAGAUUCAAUCUGGUUCACUGCAGUUGAUUAUUUCUAUACUAGCAUACAGCUGUGCUGUCAUAGAAACUUGCCCUCAUCUGAAGGACUGGCUUUCUGUUGAGAUUCUGCUGUUCCUAGAAUCCAUGGUGACUAUAGGUUUAGGACACUGAUUUAUUCUAGGCAUUUAGCCUUGAAAAGGGGGGAAAGAGUGGAGGCAUCCCUUGAGUGAUUUACAUGCAUGCAUAUGUGCAGAGGUAAGCAAGUAACCGGAAGGAAAAGGGUACAAGCACAGAGUGAAGACAGAAACGCCCGGCUUUCUCCUCACACAUAUUUCUCCUUUUUUAGUUUUUAAUUUUACUAUUUUGAGUCGGGGUUUGUCCAUGUUGCCCUGGAUGUCCUGGAACUCAUUCUGUAGAGCAGGUUGUCCUCAAAGUCAUACAGUUCCACCUGCCUCUUGCUUCCAGAGUGCCGGGGUCAAAGGUGUGUACCACUAUACCCAGAUUGUACAUAUUUCUUUGUUUUUAAACACAUUUUUCAACCUUAUUCAAGUAAUAUAUUUAUUAUCAAUAUGUCAUAAGGAUAUUAACAUGUUCCAAAAAUAAA
Long non-coding RNA from Apodemus sylvaticus (European woodmouse), 3352 nucleotides. RefSeq lists it as uncharacterized. The record is from RefSeq and is a predicted model, not a curated record. NCBI's taxonomy places the organism in Eukaryota, Metazoa, Chordata, Mammalia, Rodentia, Muridae. The transcript is spliced from 11 exons.